ACAUACAGGAAGAUCAACAAACCGAAACGGUGAAAAAAAUGAUGACAAAAUUGUUUCCUCUUUUUAAUUAAAAUUAUUAUGAUUUUUCUUCCCCC
RNAcentral lists this non-coding RNA (95 nucleotides) under Chloropicon mariensis. Lineage: Eukaryota; Viridiplantae; Chlorophyta; Chloropicophyceae; Chloropicales; Chloropicaceae. The record is from RNAcentral.